AAAUCUGAGAUGAUAGGAAGCAAGUGAAUGAGAGUUGAUUUUUAAACCAUGAGACAAAUGUGUUACACUUUCUGAGACUU
RNAcentral lists this small RNA (80 nucleotides) under Salix viminalis (osier). The record is from RNAcentral. Lineage: Eukaryota; Viridiplantae; Streptophyta; Magnoliopsida; Malpighiales; Salicaceae.